AGAAUUUAUCCUACAAAAGGUUCCAUCAAAACCCUAAAUAACAAAUUAGCUAUUCAUAAUAGUAUGUAAAACUACAAUACUAAAAGUCAUAACCAACAAUGAAAAAUAAGAAGAGGAAGGAAAAACUCGUAGAAGAAUUCCCCGCCUUGCUCCUAUUGUGUCUCUGCCUCCUUAGGUCUAAAAUAUGUCAAAAGUAUGUCCAACCUCCUCAAAAUAGCGUUUUUACAUGUAUUUAUACCAAGUAGGGUCGGGCCUAGACGAAAAAACCCUUUCUUGCGCGAACUAGGACUUCGCUCUGUAAAAGUUGAACAGCCACGCCGUAGGCUGCGCCGCACCAUGCGGCGCGUUAGUGUAUUUUAUCAGCAGCCUCAAAUUUUCGCAUCAGGCAGCAUUUUACACUACUGCGCCGUGCCUUGCGGCACCCCAUGCGGCGUGGUAGUGUAAUUUUCUCAGAGUGAACUUAUUUCGUCCUCUUUUAACAUCCGGACUUGGUACACUACCUCCAAACACGAUACCGGCUUAAUGUAUUGGGGUUUUACUCAGACUUCAAAGCUCCAAAUUGAUCAAUUUAGCUCCAAAUUAACUUUUGAGCGCAAGAUCACUUCCUUCAAGGCAUAAAACACGUACUAAGUGCAAUUCACUAUCAUUUGAACUCAAACGCACGUAAAAAAUGCAGUUAUUGGCAUGUAAUACUACAGCUAAAACACGGGUUUCUAGCUUAACAUCAACACCCCACACUUAAAGCAUUGCUCGUCUUCGAGCAAUCAAACUACACUUUAUAUAGACACGGCAUUUUUAAACAAUUCUCCUAACUCAUCACACCAAAAAUAUUUAAAAUAGACUAAGCACAAAAGCGUAACAUCUUCACCUCAAGAUUUGACUCACAAGUACCAUGCAUUAUUCACAACUCACCCACUUACUCUAACAUAGAGGUCAAGGAUUGCCUUUCCUUCAUGAAUCAAGUACCCUCGCACACAAAAAAGAGUAGUUCCACACAAUAAACUUUAAGAACACCUAGGAACUCAAGAUAGAAAGAAUUCACUCACUCUCAGAAAUAACAUUCAUAUGCCACAAAAGAUGCACCAUAGGCUUGCCCGUAGUGUACUACUCUACUAAUCGAGCUCAUUUAGUCUAGGAUCAAGUAGGACUUUAUUUGGUUGUAAUGUAGGAUGAGGGACGGGUAGGAUACAUUUAGAUAUAAGAGUGACUACACCUCCCUAAGUACUUUAAUACAUACACUUUAACAUUCAAGCACAUGCUUAUGUCAAACUAAAAAUCCACCUUCUCAUCAAUGUAUAUUAACUCCCAAACUUCUUUAAGCACCAGCACAAUUACAUCAAGAGUCACCACUUAUCAUGGAAUUUUGUUUCCACAACAAUACAACUUUUUUUUCCUUUUUUUUAUUCAUGUGGCUCUUACUUUUUUUUAAAAUAGUGCACAUUUCUCCUUAUUUCAUUAGUUNNNNNNNNNNNNNNNNNNNNCAAAUGGGUAAGGCUUGUAAUGUGGUUGCUAAAGAAACAAGAUUACACGCUCAAAGGGGUUAACUACGAUACAUAACAAUUAGGUGGGUAAAAUAUACAUAUCUGGCUCUACAAAAAAACGUCUAUAUCACUUCCAAGACUGAACAAAACUACUAUUUCGCUUUGCAAACACACAGGGCAAGUUCUAGGCAUCAAAUGCAAUGUACAGAAUAAAACAACCUCACACACACAUUGCACAUAACUCACUCAGGAUUCGAUUCAUCAAGACACUCUAGUCAAAGCAGUUAAGCAAAGUUAAAAUCAUACAAUUUAAGGUACUUCUACAAGAGUCAAAAACUGAGCCUAAGCGUCACAGCCAAAGUACUCACUAUUCUCAAGGCAUAACAAAGUCAAGAGAUAUUGCUUUAAUUCAAAACACAGCACAAUGGCUUAUAUUCCUAAAAAAACUCACUACACCCGGUUCAAACAGAACCCUUGAAAAAGAACCGUGGUUUAAAGAAAAACUAAGGGGUAAUUGCUACACUACCUAACAAAAGAAAAUCAUUUUGUUUUUUUUUUAGACUUAAAUCCCUCAAUAAAAUUGUCUAGUAUAUCCAUCGUCGGAAAAAGUCCAAUCUUUACUAUGUAAAAAAAAUAUUCAAUUAAACUAACAUAACUAAAAUAGCAUAGAAAGUCACCCAGACAAUCUCAUCACCCCACACUUAAAAUUGUGCAUUGUCUCCAAUGCACACCAUACUAAUAAGAGGGUAAAAGAAACUCCCUAGCAGGCCAAAGGACGAAGCACUACCAGCUCAUGGGGUACUCAGACUUCUCCCGGGUUUGGUCCUUUGUGCGGGUACCUCACACUUAGUUCCAACCAUCUGGCUUGUUGUUGCAUCCUUCCAAUAGUUUUGCUUUCCAUGCUCCUAGAAACUCAAAAAUCAACACAACAAAAAUAAUACAAUAAAAAAAAUAAAACAAAGCAGUAAAGCUGGGUUGCGUCCCAACAAGCGCUUGAUUUAACGUCGCGGCACGACGUGAAUCACUUUUUGCCUCUACUUUGAACUUAUGAAUUGGACCCCUAGUUUUGAUUUUGCUCUGUGAUCAUGCUUCUGGGGUGGCAAAACGAAUUUGACUAGCCCAAUAAAAUAAUGUAGUAUUCUGCACUUCUUAACCUUUGGAUGAGGUGUGUAUUCCUGACUUUCUGGCAAGAAGCAUUUCAGAAUGUAAGCACCUUGUUCCUCAUUCCUUGACUCCUCAAGUGGCUCGGACGACUCUAUUUCCAUAUCAUCAUCCAAACACAAUGUGGAAAAAUGCUUGGAGUGUGAACCAAUGCGCUCAACUACAAGAACAUUGGGACUGUCUACAUUCUCAACACUGAUGACAAUAGAGUCAACCAAAUAUGUAUCCUCAAUAUCCUUGGUUGACUCUAGUAUCUCUUCUACGACAUCGGCAUCCUCAAAAUCAAGUUCGAUUGAUUGUUGGUGUUUUACUCUGGCCUUCUCCUCUAGCUCCUCAAUUCUUGUAUCUAAUUCACGCUCUUCUUGGAUACUAUUCACAAUAUUGGCUUGUUGAGCAUUAAAAUUUCAACCAGUUGAGUCAUAUGAGCAUUCAAGUUGUGAAUAGUUUCCUCUUGCCUUUCUAUCUGCAGUUGUAAUUUACUAUGUUGUUCCAAAAUGCACUUUAACAUAUCUCCGAUCUUCUUUAGGUCAGCUUCCCUGGAUUCUUUGUUCUUAUUAACUUCACCAGAAAAAGAAGAACCAUCAAAAAUAAGGGGUUAAGGGAAGGUAAGAAAUAUAAGCACAACCGUAAAAGUGACCAUCUUGACCACCACACAUAUCACACACAUUCCACACAUAAGAUUGAGUUGGUGCACAAAACUCGUUCUCGGAAAUAUUUUGAUAAUUUUGCGCUGGGUGGUUUCCUUCACAAUAUGCAUAAGGAGGAUUAAAAGUAGAAUUACCACCAUCAAAAUUCUCAUAAUUCCAUGAUGCCAUGUUUCUCAAAUAAAACAAAAAUAAAAAAAUUUUAAAAAAAAUCAAAUACUAAAAAAUAAAAUAAAAGUUCAAACUUGAAACUUAGCAAUAUGUACACCUACAACUACACCGUUAGUUCCCCGACAACGGCGCCAAAAUUUGAUCACGCCCAACUAUGCAUUGUAAAAAGGACUAAGCGGUCGUUGCAAAUAUAAUAUGGUUUACAAGUCCGGAGUCGAAUCUCACAGAGAACUAAGGCCUAGCUACAGUUGUUCACUAUCACCAAGAAGACAAGCUUGAACAGUUCCUAACUUAUAGAUAUUAAUAUUCUUGUGUUUAACUAAUUAACUAACAAAUUAAAAUAGUAAAUUAACAACUACAGAUACCGAGGGUUAGAGACAAGAUUAAGGAGGUCUAGAGUUAUGAUUUUCCCAAUUGUCGGAAUCCUUCUCGCUAUAUCUUCUAUAAUUUCGCUUAAGUAUUCUCUACCUAUCAUGAGCACUCUUAUUACCGUAAAUUCUCCAGAGUAAUCACGACAAUUUACUAGACGCACUCUCCCGAGCUACGCUAGCUGGCUUUUAAUACAGCUCACUUCACAUUGCACCCAAGACUUCGUUAUCCCUAAUCCCGCCUUUAAACCCUUGGUUAUUGAUUCCUCGCAUACGUCGGGAGUGAUGUUGUUCAACAACUACCUAAAUAUGCACUCUCUCCCGAGUAAUACAUACUAAAUAGCACAGCUAAUUGAGGAUCCUAUCAAUUAACUACAACAAGAACAUAGUUGAACAAAUAAAGAUUAUACUACGGCUCAACUAUAUAAAAACAUAACAAGAAUUUAUCCUACAAAAGGUUCCAUCAAAACCCUAAAUAACAAAUUAGCUAUUCAUAAUAGUAUGUAAAACUACAAUACUAAAAGUCAUAACCAACAAUGAAAAAUAGGAAGAGGAAGGAAAAACUCGUAAAAGAAUUUCCCGCCUUGCUCCUAUUGUGCCUCUGUCUCCUUAGGUCUAAAAUAUGUCAAAAGUGUGUCCAACCUCCUCAAAAUAGCAUUUUUACAUGUAUUUAUACCAAGUAGGGUCGGGCCUAAACGUAAAAACCCUUUCCUGCGCGAACUAGGACUUCGCUCUGUAAAAGUUGAACAGUCGCGCCACAGGCUGCACCGCACCAUGCGGCGCAUUAGUGUAUUUUAUCAGCAGCCUCGACUUUUCGCAUCAGGCAGCAUUUUACACUGCUGCGCCGCGCCUUGCGGCGCCCCAAUAUAAUUUUCUCAGAGUGAACUUAUUUCGCCCUCUUUUAACAUCCGAACUUGGUAUACUACCUCCGAUCACGAUCCCGGCUUAAUGUAUUGGGCUUUUACUCAGACUUCAAAGCUCCAAAUUGAUCAACUUAGCUCCAAAUUAACUUUUGAGCACAUGAUCAC
RNAcentral lists this long non-coding RNA (4853 nucleotides) under Nicotiana tabacum (common tobacco). Its description in RNAcentral is "long non-coding RNA (NTAB_LNC001029)". Lineage: Eukaryota; Viridiplantae; Streptophyta; Magnoliopsida; Solanales; Solanaceae. The record is from RNAcentral.